ACGUAGGGAGCAAGCGUUGUCCGGAUUUACUGGGCGUAAAGAGCGCGUAGGCGGCUCGUUAAGUGUGAAGUGAAAUCUCCAGUGCUCAACACGGAAACUGCUUUACAUACUGGCGAGCUUGAGGAAAGCAGAGGUAACUGGAAUUCCUGGUGUAGCGGUGAAAUGCGUUGAUAUCAGGAGGAACACCCAUGGCGAAGGCAGGUUACUGGGCUUUAUCUGACGCUGAGGCGCGAAAGCGUGGGUAGCAAACAGGAUUAGAUACCCUGGUAGUCCACGCCCUAAACGAUGGAUACUAGUCGUGAGAGGUAUCGACCCCUCUCGUGACCGUAGCUAACGCGUUAAGUAUCCCGCCUGGGGACUACGGCCGCAAGGUUG
This 375-nucleotide ribosomal RNA is filed under the name uncultured bacterium. Its description in RNAcentral is "bacterial SSU rRNA". It matches the Rfam family "Bacterial small subunit ribosomal RNA", at positions 525 to 896 of the family's 1533-position model. The record is from RNAcentral.